Oreochromis aureus is the source of this 415-nucleotide long non-coding RNA. The record is from Ensembl. Lineage: Eukaryota; Metazoa; Chordata; Actinopteri; Cichliformes; Cichlidae.
GCAUGUAAAUAUAAUAAUAACCACUGCAGCCAAGAAGAGUGCCUGACGAGCCCAGCUAGCACAGCGAUGGAGUGGUUUCUAAAAGUGAGCACGUUCUGCAUAAAUGGACGUUUUUGCUCUGUGACACUGAGACGAGAGCGAAGAGAGGGACCGACGUGUUGGAGAUGAGAACGUCUGCACUGGACUUUCCUCUGACAUACUGAUGGAGGAGCGUGGUGCGAUGUGGAUCAGGUGACCCUGAAUCCUCCCUCAGUUAGGCUGCAGUAGGUGUAGCCUGCUGGGGGAUUCCCAUGAUGCACUGGGUUCCUCUGAAUUAUUGUAGAGUCUUUACCUGACUGUAACAAAAUCACACACAGACACACACACACACACACACACACACACACACACACACACACACACACACACACACAGC